UCUGAUUUGGUGAGAAAUGGCUGGUUGGUGUUGGAGAAGCUUCUUUCAUAAGUCUUGCAGGUCCAUUUAUUGACGACAAUGCUCCCAUUUCUCAGAGAACUGCCUGGCUUGCAACAUUUUAUAUGUGCAUACCCACUGGAAUUGCUGUUGGAUAUGUUUAUGGUGGACUGGUUGGGGAACAUCUUAACUGGAGCUAUGCAUUCUGGGGAGAGGCACUGUUAAUGUUACCAUUUGCUGUUUUUGGCUUUGUAGUGAAACCAUUGCAGUUGAAAGGUUUUUCUUGUGUUGAAUCAAAAAAAGAAUCAACACCUGUGGAGACAAUUUCUGCUGUAACUGAUG
Long non-coding RNA from Hibiscus syriacus, 339 nucleotides. RefSeq lists it as uncharacterized. The transcript has 5 exons. The record is from RefSeq and is a predicted model, not a curated record. NCBI's taxonomy places the organism in Eukaryota, Viridiplantae, Streptophyta, Magnoliopsida, Malvales, Malvaceae.